Molecule: ribosomal RNA, 256 nt
Filed under: uncultured bacterium
Lineage: Bacteria
Description: partial 16S ribosomal RNA
Rfam family: Bacterial small subunit ribosomal RNA
Source: RNAcentral
UACGUAGGGUGCGAGCGUUGUCCGGAAUUACUGGGCGUAAAGAGCUCGUAGGUGGUUUGUCGCGUUGUCCGUGAAAACUCACAACUCAAUUGUGGGCGUGCGGGCGAUACGGGCAGACUUGGAGUACUGCAGGGGAGACUGGAAUUCCUGGUGUAGCGGUGGAAUGCGCAGAUAUCCAGGAGGAACACCGGUGGCGAAGGCGGGUCUCUGGGGCAAUAACUGACGCUGAGGAGCGAAAGCGUGGGGAGCGAACAGG